This 63-nucleotide transfer RNA is filed under the name Quadraceps punctatus. RNAcentral's name for it is "tRNA-Lys". The record is from RNAcentral. Lineage: Eukaryota; Metazoa; Arthropoda; Insecta; Psocodea; Philopteridae.
UACGCCGAAGCUGUUGUUUCAGCGGGUGAUUUUUACUCAUCAGAAGAAGUUUUUCCGGUGUUC